AUUGGGUGCACGAGAUGCUCCACAACCUGCUCUUAAUAAGUUGAUCCUUCAUGUCCAUAGUGCUAUCCUUGCAAGGUUAAUUGUAGAGCUUCCAGCCAAGCACAUUAUGCCAAAAAUGAUUGAAGUUUAUUCUUGCGGCUUCCUGGCGGCGGCUGCGGGUGGGUGAGCACGGCCUCAGCUAAAGCACAACAAUGGCUAUCGAGUGACCAGCAAAAAGUAUGAGCUUGUGUUAUCGUGGUAGCACAUUGUCGUCGCUCCAGGCAAACCCCCAGUGAUAUCCACAUGCUUUCUCGGACACAUCCAUUCCAUGGUGCCGCCCAUCCCCACCCGCCCCCAGCCCAGCGGUGGGCUGGCUGAACCGGAGCCUGAAGCACGCUGCAGGGUAGCAACAAACAUUGUUGUUCAUGUCGUAUAUUGCUGCUGCAGGUUAAAUGUAGAGCUUCCAGCCAAGCACAUUAUGCCAAAAACGAUUGAAGUUUAUUCUUGCGGCUUCCUGGUGUCGGCUGUAGGUGGGUGUGCACGGCCUCAGCUAAAGCACAACAAUGGCUAUCGAGCGACCAGCAAAAAGUAUGAGCUCGUGUUAUCGUGGUAGCACAUUGUCGUCGCUCCAGGCAAACCCCCAGUGCUAUCCACAUUCUUUCGCGUGGGAAGGUGAGUAUUUAUGUUGCACUUUUAACAGAUUUAUAGGUUCACUCCUUUUUUUGGUUUUAAUUGUGAGCUUCUCCGUUCACGCCUUUCAAGUGGAUGAGAUAUUUGUUCAAACAAUUAAAGAUGCAGGCCUCUAUGAUACAAUUUGGCUGGCUUCUGUUAUGGUUUUGCAUGUCCAAACAGUUGGGGUCCAGGUGACCGGAGAACUCAUUCACUAUGUUCUUGCUUGAGUACUUGGAUAAAAAUUCCGUUUUCUUCGAGCAUUUGCUACUGCUACUCCAUGUCAUCAGGCAAGCAUAAAUAAAGAAAGUAUCCAAUACUAUUAGGUAAUUUUUGGAACACAUUCACUGUGCUUCCCUAUUAACAAGUUGCACCUCAAAAUAAAAGCACAAACGGUUUAGGGAGUUAAGACUCACAACAUGUCUCUUUCUUCAAUGAGAUGCCUAAGGUUUUGCAGAAUGCGUGCCACAAAUAUUACAGGGGUUGGGCCUAGCAAGGCAGUUUUAAGAGUUUCAGUUCGCGAGCAUGCUAAUCGAUUUAUUUUUUCAAUUUCUUAUUCAUGUAUACACCAAUGCAUUGUGGGAUGAGUUCUCAUUUAGCAAACUUGAUUGCCGUAUGUAACUUAGAUAAGCAACUCUCGGUAAUUCUGACAGUCAUUCUGUUAAACCACCUAAUUGGUUAGUUUGCAGGCUCACUGUUCCUCGUUUCCCCUUUUUAUCUCCCCCUCCCCUGGUGAGCUCUUGUUCACUCGUGACAGAUAUGAUUAUUUCAGUUUAGUUGUUAGCUAUCUGCAUAGUGCAUAGGGCUUGGGACAUGAUCAGGUUGAUGAAUGCCAUUUCAUGCAACCACAUGUGCAGUUAGUUACUUAGGUUACUUUGUUUUGUUUAGUACUCGAAUAAUAUAGGGGGUGCGUAAUUUGAUAAACUACCCCCACUUUUGCUUCAGGUAUCAUUUUAUUGGUGCUAUUUCAUAUUUGGUUUUGUUUCAAGUAAACUGUGGAAUAUUCAGCUUUGUUUUACCAAUUACAACACAGGUCAUAUUUAAAAGCAUCUAUCUAUACUCCGUCCAUUCAUAUUUAAUUGACGCUAAUUGGAACCAACACCCAGCACAGUAGUGUGUGUAGCUGCAUUGAUUAAUACAGAACAGAGGUAGUAGUUUCCUAUUUACGAGGUGGAAUUCCUUGUAUGUAUAGAGAUAGUUUUAACUUCCCAGUGGCAUUUUCAUUUUGCCGCGGUGCCUUUCGUACUGAGAUGUAUGAACUGUUAAUUUCCCUUGGUGGUUUAGUGAUUGAUUUGUACUGUUUGCUCGAUAUUAAUCCCAUCCAUUUUCUGAACACUAUUGAAUAUUUAGAGUUGAAGUAAGCCUUUGUGUAGUUCACUAUAAUUGUGCAAAUAUAUAAACUGUAAGCUGAACGAGUCAAGUCCAAUUGACCUCUUCUUUAAGUGAUCUUCAUAGUAACCCAGUGG
This is a non-coding RNA of Lolium perenne, 2114 nucleotides long. NCBI's taxonomy places the organism in Eukaryota, Viridiplantae, Streptophyta, Magnoliopsida, Poales, Poaceae. The record is from RefSeq and is a predicted model, not a curated record.